GAUGAACGCUGGCGGUAUGCUUAACACAUGCAAGUCGAACGGACACUUUCGGGUGUUAGUGGCGGACGGGUGAGUAACGCGUGAGAAUCUGCCUUUAGGUUCGGGACAACCAUUGGAAACGAUGGCUAAUACCGGAUAUGCAGCGAUGUGAAAGAUAUAUUGCCUAAAGAUGAGCUCGCGUCUGAUUAGCUAGUUGGUGGGGUAAAGGCCUACCAAGGCGACGAUCAGUAACUGGUCUGAGAGGAUGAUCAGUCACACUGGAACUGAGACACGGUCCAGACUCCUACGGGAGGCAGCAGUGGGGAAUUUUCCGCAAUGGGCGAAAGCCUGACGGAGCAAUACCGCGUGCGGGACGAAGGCUUUUGGGUCGUAAACCGCUUUUGUUAGGGAAGAAGAACUGACGGUACCUAACGAAUCAGCAUCGGCUAACUCCGUGCCAGCAGCCGCGGUAAUACGGAGGAUGCAAGCGUUAUCCGGAAUUAUUGGGCGUAAAGCGUCCGCAGGUGGUUUGUCAAGUCUGCUGUUAAAUCGUGGGGCUUAACCCUAUAUAGGCAGUGGAAACUGAUAGACUAGAGUACGGUAGGGGUAGCGGGAAUUCCCAGUGUAGCGGUGAAAUGCGUAGAUAUUGGGAAGAACACCAGCGGCGAAGGCGCGCUACUGGGCCGAAACUGACACUCAUGGACGAAAGCUAGGGGAGCGAAAGGGAUUAGAUACCCCUGUAGUCCUAGCUGUAAACGAUGACAACUAGGUGUUG
This 754-nucleotide ribosomal RNA is filed under the name uncultured cyanobacterium. Its description in RNAcentral is "bacterial SSU rRNA". It matches the Rfam family "Bacterial small subunit ribosomal RNA", at positions 28 to 825 of the family's 1533-position model. Lineage: Bacteria; Bacillati; Cyanobacteriota. The record is from RNAcentral.